This is a long non-coding RNA of Mastomys coucha (southern multimammate mouse), 800 nucleotides long. RefSeq lists it as uncharacterized. The record is from RefSeq and is a predicted model, not a curated record. NCBI's taxonomy places the organism in Eukaryota, Metazoa, Chordata, Mammalia, Rodentia, Muridae. The transcript has 3 exons.
GCUUACCUGGAGGACCUGCCUCCAUAACAGGCUGAGAGAGAGGACGGAGACCCUGAAAGGAGAAUAGAGACAAGGUCAUAUUAGUCCCAGGUUUUUACCUCCCAGGUAUGUUUGUGCCCCAGCUGCUUAAACAAUAUACCAUGUUAAUGCUUGCAUGGUCAGCUUCUGAGGUAACUAUAAAGGAUUUGGAGAAGGGUGGAAGUCUUGAGAUGGACUGGGCCUGGGCCACACUAGGCCAGCUGCUGAGCCACUUGAUGCAAACAGACUAAGUUCCACCGGGAGGAGCCCCUGCUCACCUCUCGACGCCAGGCAGGCCUGCCAGCAGGUCUGUGUUGGGCACCUGUGGACGCACUUUGCAACAGCUGUAGCUGUGACUGGAGUCUGAGGGAGAAAGGAGGCUGCUGAAGCAGCUGUCUUCCAGGUUGCGAAUUCGAGCCUGAGCCUGUCCCUCAGGCGACUGCGGGUCCUUGGAGGCGGGAUCCUCCGGCCGCUCUGGCCCUUCAGCUGCCCCAUCCAUGAGCCAACGUUCUCGGAGAGAUUUCCUCUGGGUAUGGGACGAGAGUCUGGGACUGCACAGGAAGCCUACCUCCCCUCCCAUUGCUUCCACCACCCAUAGUGCGCAUCCAUCAGAAUGGGAGACAUGUCCAUAUCUCGUCUCCCAACACCAUGCCAGCAUACAGCCUUCCCAGGCAGAGGCAUACAACCAUUAUCCUUUCAGCCUGCCCAGUCGACUGGCUCUGCCAGGCCCAGAAAGACCUCUCAAUGCACCCCUCUCCACCUCAACGUUGGCCUAAGGUUCC